Molecule: ribosomal RNA, 479 nt
Filed under: uncultured bacterium
Lineage: Bacteria
Description: partial 16S ribosomal RNA
Rfam family: Bacterial small subunit ribosomal RNA
Source: RNAcentral
GAUGAACGCUAGCGGGAGGCCUAACACAUGCAAGCCGAGCGGUAUUGUUUCUUCGGACAUGAGAGAGCGGCGUACGGGUGCGUAACACGUGUGCAACCUGCCUUUAUCUGGGGGAUAGCCUUUCGAAAGGAAGAUUAAUACUCCAUAAUAUAUUGAACGGCAUCGUUUAAUAUUGAAAGCUCCGGCGCAUAGAGAUGGGCACGCGCAAGAUUAGCUAGUUGGUGAGGUAACGGCUCACCAAGGCGAUGAUCUUUAGGGGGCCUGAGAGGGUGAUCCCCCACACUGGUACUGAGACACGGACCAGACUCCUACGGGAGGCAGCAGUGAGGAAUAUUGGUCAAUGGGUGCAAGCCUGAACCAGCCAUCCCGCGUGAAGGACGACUGCCCUAUGGGUUGUAAACUUCUUUUGUAUAGGGAUAAACCUACCCUCGAGAGGGUAGCUGAAGGUACUAUACGAAUAAGCACCGGCUAACUCCGUG